Molecule: long non-coding RNA, 4945 nt
Organism: Sciurus carolinensis (gray squirrel)
Lineage: Eukaryota; Metazoa; Chordata; Mammalia; Rodentia; Sciuridae
Exons: 4
Source: RefSeq, a predicted model, not a curated record
GCCUGAGCAAGGGCGAGUCUGCACCCGCACGGCCGCCCCGAGGCCCUGAGGCGUCUCAGGAGCGGGCAGCAGCCCCGCCAGAGGCUCCCCCGACGCCCAGGCAAGCUGACCGUGCAGGAGGCCGGACUCAGAGCACAGAGACAGAGCCUGGGCUUGUUUCCCAGAGGAAACGCCCCUGUGCUCUGGCCACGCGAGAUAAGCAGGAGGGCAAAGCUGGGGAAGUUCGGGGGUGGAGGCCUGGAGUCGGGACUGGCAGGAAGGCCAGAGGUCUGGACUGUGCAUGGGGCAGGCCCUCCCCAGGCCCUGACGCGCCAGCCACCAACGUGUGGGUGAUCAGGUCACGGGGGAGCUCGCUCCUGUGAUGUGUCAGCGUGCUGAUAAGAAAAGGGACAGGAAGGGCGUUCACCAAGGACCCGACCUGGCAGCCUUGACCUUGAACUGUGGCCGUAACCAUCUGGUCCAGCCACACAGUCCCGGGGCGUGGACAGCAGCCUGAGCAGACCAGGGAAACCAGGGAGACCAGCAAACCACGGAGAGGCCGGGAGCUCCACAGCACCUUCCGUCUCGGGGUGCUACCCCCGCCCGUCACCAGCACCAAACACCAGACUGCUGACCCCCUGGAGUUCUGAGUUACACAAACAUCACAACGAAUGAACAGUUUACUUAAUAGUAAAAAUUCUGGUGGACGAGCCAGCCAAGUGCAAACAAAAUCUAGCAAACACGUGGGUAUCACCAACGUAUGGUCCUUGUGCAAGAAUGGAAUGCAGUGACGUCACCACCAUAGAUAGCCCUGCCCUGUGGAAUUGGUCCUCCAUGGUUGUGGAGGCGGGGUAACUACCGAACACUGUCUCCUGGCUGCUCCUUCACAAGCGCAGUCCGUCCACGCCGGUACAGAGGUCUGCAGUGGGGAACGCGGGCGUUCCCAGCGGGGCCAGCCUGUCUUCUCACACUUCUGCAGGACUGCAGCCGAGCAGAGGGAGACACGUCUACUGCAAAACCACUGAACCAAGGAAAGGCGAUCAGGGUUCCACUUACACUUGAAGACGGCCAACAAGUAAGGGAAGAAUCAACCCAAGACAAACCCACGUAGAGUCUUACAAACGCAGCGUCCAAACACCGCUGUCCAGAGGUUGACACAGCACUUUCAUAAACUGGCAUGAACUGCAGGUAAGAGACCUUCUUGAAACACCUUGUGUUUUAAAGGAUUUACCCAUGUGACUGAAAAAAGCCAUAAAAAACCCAACGUGCUUUAUUUCUUUUGCCAAUGACAUGACAGAACUUGGUUAUGAAAUACUGGAAUCGGUAGGCUUACUCGAGACUCAGUAAAAGGCUGUCCGUAGGUGAAAGUGCCCCCGCUCUGCAGACCCAUCCACGGACCUUAAAAGGCAAGAACCUCAGAUCGUCUGAAGUGAACGUACACUGCGCACACAGAGACCCGUGGAGUGCCGCCGUCUCCCAGCAUAGGCAGCGUCUUCAGCAGCUCACGCCUCUGCAGAGCGUCCUAGCUUUCUUCAGUGGCUGGAGGGACAGAAGGAGGCCCCUGGGGAGCCCCGUCCGCGCUCCUUGGGAGAGGCAGGAAGAAACUGCAGACCACGCCUCUCUUCCCCAAACCACUGUGCGGCGAUCGGCUCCUGGGCCUCCUUGGAGGUGUGUUCCCUGAGCCAGUGGCUAGAUUUCCACUUAGUGAAAUCACGGAGCAGAGAGGACAAAGGCGAAUGUCACUUCUCAGGGCACACGUGUUGCCCAUGUGAAUCUGCUGGAAUCCAAGAACAUUCCUGCCAGCACGGAGUUCCACCGGCGCCCCUCCAGGACGAUGGCACACCUGUGUCCGCGUCACCUGGGACAAAUUGAACCAGUACGCAUUGGACACCGUGCCCAGCAGAGAUGACCUUCCUGCCACAGGCCCGAGGCAGCAGGCUCCCCGCACAACCUUUCUCCACGACAGCCUCCGCAGAUCAGCUCUCCAUGUCAUGUGCGUGGCAUUUCCUGCUUCAGAUACUAAGAAACCCACUGGGGCCCCACUGCAUUUGGGGAGGUUUGUGAGGAUGCGGUGGGAUGAGGAACACUACCGUCCGAGGAUCGUGCACGUGGACCCCGCUUUGCUAACGGCACUGAUUCUCCCCGUGAAGCCUGCUUCAAAGGACUGUGUGUCGAGAUGAGGUUUUUGCCAUUAUUAUUUUUUAAUGUAGUUACUGUUUUAAAAGAAUUUCAUAAAGCUGCUACGUUUGAUGGAAACAUACAUCCACUAAGAAAGAAGUGUGUGUUUUUCACCUUUAAGCAGCUGGGCUCAUUACUUAGGACUUGAGAAAAGAGAACAGCAGUUUCUAGUUUGAUUAUCUGUCUAACCUGCACAAUUUUUAUAUAAUGUACCAUCUAAGGGGAAAAAACUAAAAGCAUAAGAUUUUGACAUGCCUAUACACAGAAGCAUCUUCAAGGAAACCACAGUGUUUGAGAGUAUGGUCAUCACACCUGGACUUCAGGUCCACCCAGCUGUUGGUCUAAACCCUGGCUUCGGCCCUGACAUUGGUACAUUUAUAUACUCAACACGGUUGCUCCUAUUUUAUUUUAUACUGCAGCAAAUCAGAUAAAAAGCUUGUCCUAAUGAGCUUGCAACCUAGAGCAGGAGCCGGAAGACUGUCCUGCACAGGAUCAAACAUAGCACACGUCUGCAUGGCCAUAGGCCAUGCUCCGCCCAGAGGUCACUUGGAGCCACAGCCGUGGGUGACAGCAAUCUUUCCACCUGGGCGCUACUACAUUGGAAUCAGACAGAUGCUGGUAGCAGCCCACCUAGCAUGGGAUGACUGUAAAGUGUGCUCACAUGCUGCCCACACUGUCCACAUGGGGAGUUGAAAAUCACUGCUCUGAAGAUUAGCUCUUCACCCUUGCCAGGGAGGUUAAAAACAAGAACAUGAAAACUAGAAAAGAUCCAACAUUACUCACUUCUCUGGCCAAAGCUCAGCUUGGAGCUACCGCACGGCAGGCUGUUACCAGUCUCAGCACAGACAACUUGCACUGGGAGACGUACUCAGCUGGGGAACACAGAAAACCCCGAAUUAAAUCUAGGAAAAGGAGAAGCGGCAAGAUGGCGGGGUGGUGUCUUCCCAGAGGAUGCGUAGCUGCCCCUGCCUUGGAUGCAGAAAGCUCUGGAGGGAGAACGGACUCAAGGCCAGUUUUUCCACCAGAGAAGGAUGACGGGUCAGGAACUGGCCUUCUCCUCUCGUCUUCGUCUAAGGCCACUGAGAUCUCCAGCUGACUGCUAACUCUUUCCACAUUUGUGUGGGAAAUAAAAUUCCCACGGGUGGCUUACCACAGACAUUAUGAUGGUGUUUUCCGUCUUCCUGGGUCUCAGUGCUACUGUGUGUGAACUGCUUAAGGACAGUGGAGACCGUUCGGUUGCACAGCUGGUGUCUCCAGGGAGGUCACUGUGCUGCCUUUAUGGGACUGCGUUCCUCCCAUGCUGUGGGAUCAGAACUGACAUCCAGAAAGCAAGCCACCGUGGAGGCCAGCCCAGCUCCAGGGGCGGUUUUAUGUGCACACAGUUCGUAACAGACAUGAAAUGUGUCUGACUUGAUUAAUAAAGGAAACAAAGUUUUACAACUUUCAGAUUAUACUCAGGAGGCAUAUCACUGGAAAAAAGAGCAGUCCUAGUGUCAGGAUAGCUUGGGGAACUGUAUCACCUGUCGACGGCUUUUCCAAGUGCUAAAUGAAAUGCCACGGCCGCUGAGGACUUAGCUAGACAAACUUACGUCCCAGCGCACCGGCCAAAUGCCCUGAAGGCCUGCUUCCUGUGAUGCUCUGACUGCACAUGAAGUGUGGGUCUACCAAGUGAGAUAGAGAUGCAUUCUUCCAGGAAAUCACCUGGCCUCUGCUCAUGGUCUUAUUUUACAUUUAUAUCUAAAAAUCAAUACAAAUACGAUCUUCCAAAAUGUUAUUCCCUCCCCUACAAGAGCUACAAUGAAGAGAAAUCCAACACUACUAGAUGUAAGGUCUUAGCUCGUUGGAGACUUCGGCAUUUAAUCGGAAGGACUCAGGACGGAGGAUGCCUGAAAGGGGCCGAGUCAGGGUCAGGACCAUCGUGGCGUGCGGUCUGCUGGCUUUACGCAGUCAGCACGUUUCCUGGAGGGGCUUGGCCUCCAUGCUCCUCCAGCCCUGAGCCCGCUCUCUGGCUACAGGAGUGCACGGCUGCCCUCGGAGGCCUGGAGGACGGCGUCCAGGGCCUCACAGCUCCCAGAACAUGCAGAUGCUCCACCCUCCUGCAGGAGGGCACGGCGCUGGCACAUACGCUACGCGCGCUCCCAGGGUCCAGCUCUUCUCUGCCCACCUAGAGCAUCAGACGAUGCAGACGCCGUGGAAGUGACGUACACUACACUGCGCAGGGUGUGAGAGGGAGAGGCCUCUGAGCUCAGCACAGGAGCAAUCGUCAUGCUGAAUAUUCUCGACUCACGGAAGCUUCUGCCAUGGGUGCAGGUCCUGUGGAUGCAGAGGGCCAGCGAUCACAGCCUCGCUAGGAGGGACAAGUCAGUGGGUAACGGCAGCCUGUGUAGAAAGUGGGCCGGGCAAGCACACGCCUGUAAUCCCGGUGACUCGGGGAGCGAGGUAGGAGGAGCCCGCGUUCAAAGCCAGCCUCAGCAGCUUAGUGAGACCCUAAGCAACUCAGAGAGAGCCUGUCUCCGAACGAAAAAUACUGGGGAUGUGGCUCAAUGGGCGAGUACCCCCGAGUUCAAUCCCUGGUACCAAAAAAAAAAAAAAAGUCUUCAUUUUGAUAUCAUGACUAAAACUAGACAAUAAAGAACCGAUCGGCUGGCUUACUAUUCUAUCAGUUAUUUGGAAUGUGAUAAUAGCAGCUAAGGUUUUCAUUCAAUUUAAAAUCUACUGUUUUACAUCUUGUCACAUAGACUGGACCUUUUGUCAACAGCAUCAUAUUCAAGUAUGCGUCUUGUAAGAU